UACGUAGGUGGCGAGCGUUGUCCGGAUUUACUGGGCGUAAAGGAUGCGUAGGCGGAUAUUUAAGUGAGAUGUGAAAUACCCGGGCUUAACUUGGGUGCUGCAUUUCAAACUGGAUAUCUAGAGUGCGGGAGAGGAGAAUGGAAUUCCUAGUGUAGCAGUGAAAUGCGUAGAGAUUAGGAAGAACACCAGUGGCGAAGGCGAUUCUCUGGACCGUAACUGACGCUGAGGCAUGAAAGCGUGGGUAGCAAACAGG
Molecule: ribosomal RNA, 253 nt
Filed under: uncultured bacterium
Lineage: Bacteria
Description: partial 16S ribosomal RNA
Rfam family: Bacterial small subunit ribosomal RNA
Source: RNAcentral